RNAcentral lists this long non-coding RNA (238 nucleotides) under Aquilegia coerulea. RNAcentral describes it as "long non-coding RNA (ACOE_LNC000087)". Lineage: Eukaryota; Viridiplantae; Streptophyta; Magnoliopsida; Ranunculales; Ranunculaceae. The record is from RNAcentral.
UUCAACAUCACAGUUAACAGUCUGACAGAAGACUUGGAACAUUUUCAUACUGAUUAAGUGAAUAGCUUGAAAAUUGAAACAUGUUACUCAUUUUACAUGUCUAAUGUCUACAGGACACGAAUAUUGAAUCCAAAACAAGAAUGGACGACUUAACAUUCAAACACCCAGUAAAUAAAUGAUGAUUACGAGAAAUCCUUAUUGACGAAAAACUGACAAUGAUAGCAAGUCUGAUCUUAGA